Molecule: ribosomal RNA, 494 nt
Filed under: uncultured bacterium
Lineage: Bacteria
Description: bacterial SSU rRNA
Rfam family: Bacterial small subunit ribosomal RNA
Source: RNAcentral
AGAGUUUGAUCCUGGCUCAGGAUGAACGCUGGCGGCACGCUUAACACAUGCAAGUCGAACGAGGUUAUGGACUUCGGUUAAUAACCUAGUGGCGGACGGGUGCGUAACGCGUGGGUAAUCUGCCCUUGACAGGGGGAUAACGUAUAGAAAUGUACGCUAAUACCGCAUAAGCCCACGAGACCGCAUGGUCUUGAGGGAAAAGGGAUACUGGUCAAGGAUGAGCCCGCGUCUGAUUAGGUAGUUGGUGAGGUAAAGGCCCACCAAGCCUGCGAUCAGUAGCCGGUCUGAGAGGAUGGACGGCCACAUUGGGACUGAGACACGGCCCAAACUCCUACGGGAGGCAGCAGUGGGGAAUAUUGCACAAUGGGGGAAACCCUGAUGCAGCGAUGCCGCGUGAAGGAUGAAGUGUUUCGGCACGUAAACUUCUAUCAGCAAGGAAGAAAGAAGACAGUACUUGAAUAAGCAGCCCCGGCUAACUACGUGCCAGCAGCUGC